GACGUGCUAAUCUGCGAUAAGCGUCGGUAAGGUGAUAUGAACCGUUAUAACCGGCGAUUUCCGAAUGGGGAAACCCAGUGUGAUUCGUCACACUAUCAUUAACUGAAUCCAUAGGUUAAUGAGGCGAACCGGGGGAACUGAAACAUCUAAGUACCCCGAGGAAAAGAAAUCAACCGAGAUUCCCCCAGUAGCGGCGAGCGAACGGGGAGCAGCCCAGAGCCUGAAUCAGUGUGUGUGUUAGUGGAAGCGUCUGGAAAGGCGUGCGAUACAGGGUGACAGCCCCGUACACAAAAAUGCACAUAUUGUGAGCUCGAUGAGUAGGGCGGGACACGUGGUAUCCUGUCUGAAUAUGGGGGGACCAUCCUCCAAGGCUAAAUACUCCUGACUGACCGAUAGUGAACCAGUACCGUGAGGGAAAGGCGAAAAGAACCCCGGCGAGGGGAGUGAAAAAGAACCUGAAACCGUGUACGUACAAGCAGUGGGAGCACGCUUAGGCGUGUGACUGCGUACCUUUUGUAUAAUGGGUCAGCGACUUAUAUUCUGUAGCAAGGUUAACCGAAUAGGGGAGCCGAAGGGAAACCGAGUCUUAACUGGGCGUUAAGUUGCAGGGUAUAGACCCGAAACCCGGUGAUCUAGCCAUGGGCAGGUUGAAGGUUGGGUAACACUAACUGGAGGACCGAACCGACUAAUGUUGAAAAAUUAGCGGAUGACUUGUGGCUGGGGGUGAAAGGCCAAUCAAACCGGGAGAUAGCUGGUUCUCCCCGAAAGCUAUUUAGGUAGCGCCUCGUGAAUUCAUCUCCGGGGGUAGAGCACUGUUUCGGCAAGGGGGUCAUCCCGACUUACCAACCCGAUGCAAACUGCGAAUACCGGAGAAUGUUAUCACGGGAGACACACGGCGGGUGCUAACGUCCGUCGUGAAGAGGGAAACAACCCAGACCGCCAGCUAAGGUCCCAAAGUCAUGGUUAAGUGGGAAACGAUGUGGGAAGGCCCAGACAGCCAGGAUGUUGGCUUAGAAGCAGCCAUCAUUUAAAGAAAGCGUAAUAGCUCACUGGUCGAGUCGGCCUGCGCGGAAGAUGUAACGGGGCUAAACCAUGCACCGAAGCUGCGGCAGCGACGCUGAUGCGUUGUUGGGUAGGGGAGCGUUCUGUAAGCCUGCGAAGGUGUGCUGUGAGGCAUGCUGGAGGUAUCAGAAGUGCGAAUGCUGACAUAAGUAACGAUAAAGCGGGUGAAAAGCCCGCUCGCCGGAAGACCAAGGGUUCCUGUCCAACGUUAAUCGGGGCAGGGUGAGUCGACCCCUAAGGCGAGGCCGAAAGGCGUAGUCGAUGGGAAACAGGUUAAUAUUCCUGUACUUGGUGUUACUGCGAAGGGGGGACGGAGAAGGCUAUGUUGGCCGGGCGACGGUUGUCCCGGUUUAAGCGUGUAGGCUGGUUUUCCAGGCAAAUCCGGAAAAUCAAGGCUGAGGCGUGAUGACGAGGCACUACGGUGCUGAAGCAACAAAUGCCCUGCUUCCAGGAAAAGCCUCUAAGCAUCAGGUAACAUCAAAUCGUACCCCAAACCGACACAGGUGGUCAGGUAGAGAAUACCAAGGCGCUUGAGAGAACUCGGGUGAAGGAACUAGGCAAAAUGGUGCCGUAACUUCGGGAGAAGGCACGCUGAUAUGUAGGUGAAGUCCCUCGCGGAUGGAGCUGAAAUCAGUCGAAGAUACCAGCUGGCUGCAACUGUUUAUUAAAAACACAGCACUGUGCAAACACGAAAGUGGACGUAUACGGUGUGACGCCUGCCCGGUGCCGGAAGGUUAAUUGAUGGGGUCAGCGCAAGCGAAGCUCUUGAUCGAAGCCCCGGUAAACGGCGGCCGUAACUAUAACGGUCCUAAGGUAGCGAAAUUCCUUGUCGGGUAAGUUCCGACCUGCACGAAUGGCGUAAUGAUGGCCAGGCUGUCUCCACCCGAGACUCAGUGAAAUUGAACUCGCUGUGAAGAUGCAGUGUACCCGCGGCAAGACGGAAAGACCCCGUGAACCUUUACUAUAGCUUGACACUGAACAUUGAGCCUUGAUGUGUAGGAUAGGUGGGAGGCUUUGAAGUGUGGACGCCAGUCUGCAUGGAGCCGACCUUGAAAUACCACCCUUUAAUGUUUGAUGUUCUAACGUUGACCCGUAAUCCGGGUUGCGGACAGUGUCUGGUGGGUAGUUUGACUGGGGCGGUCUCCUCCUAAAGAGUAACGGAGGAGCACGAAGGUUGGCUAAUCCUGGUCGGACAUCAGGAGGUUAGUGCAAUGGCAUAAGCCAGCUUGACUGCGAGCGUGACGGCGCGAGCAGGUGCGAAAGCAGGUCAUAGUGAUCCGGUGGUUCUGAAUGGAAGGGCCAUCGCUCAACGGAUAAAAGGUACUCCGGGGAUAACAGGCUGAUACCGCCCAAGAGUUCAUAUCGACGGCGGUGUUUGGCACCUCGAUGUCGGCUCAUCACAUCCUGGGGCUGAAGUAGGUCCCAAGGGUAUGGCUGUUCGCCAUUUAAAGUGGUACGCGAGCUGGGUUUAGAACGUCGUGAGACAGUUCGGUCCCUAUCUGCCGUGGGCGCUGGAGAACUGAGGGGGGCUGCUCCUAGUACGAGAGGACCGGAGUGGACGCAUCACUGGUGUUCGGGUUGUCAUGCCAAUGGCACUGCCCGGUAGCUAAAUGCGGAAGAGAUAAGUGCUGAAAGCAUCUAAGCACGAAACUUGCCCCGAGAUGAGUUCUCCCUGACUCCUUGAGAGUCCUGAAGGAACGUUGAAGACGACGACGUUGAUAGGCCGGGUGUGUAAGCGCAGCGAUGCGUUGAGCUAACCGGUACUAAUGAACCGUGAGG
Molecule: ribosomal RNA, 2841 nt
Filed under: Escherichia coli O78:H42
Lineage: Bacteria; Pseudomonadati; Pseudomonadota; Gammaproteobacteria; Enterobacterales; Enterobacteriaceae
Description: partial 23S ribosomal RNA
Rfam family: Bacterial large subunit ribosomal RNA
Source: RNAcentral